This is a long non-coding RNA of Passer domesticus (house sparrow), 2981 nucleotides long. RefSeq lists it as uncharacterized. NCBI's taxonomy places the organism in Eukaryota, Metazoa, Chordata, Aves, Passeriformes, Passeridae. The transcript has 3 exons. The record is from RefSeq and is a predicted model, not a curated record.
GUGCAGGCAGGGAGAGCAAACGUGGUUUUAGGCAUCUCUAAUGAGGUCUUGCCCAGUUUCUGCUUCCCAGGAAGGGGCUUCAGCUAUUCCCCCCUCCCCAGCACACCCCCUCCCGCUCUCCCUGGCUGUGAGUCUGAUCAUCCUGAAAAUUAAAAAUAAAACAAAAUGCAGCAGCACUUAAAGAACGAGUGGAAAGUCAUGGAGCCGGGACAGGCCCUCGGGUUCUGCUGCAGAGCCCCUUGCUCCCACUCUGCCAUCCCUGCACCCCGAAGGUGAGUCUAGACUGGGGUCUCAGGCCAUUCCUGUCCCCUUAAAAAGCACCUCUCUGCCUCCCUCAUCGAAAAGGAAGAAAAGCUCUGGACAAAGAAAAAGCUCUGGGUGUUAGGCAGCCCUUCCCACCCUGCUCCCUACCCUGUGGGAAGGACACCCAUCCUCAGCUGUCCUGCUCAUCCUGGUGCAGGGAUGGGAGGGGGCUGGUGGAAAGGGGUGCAGAGAGGGUAGUUUGGCCUCCAACUCUGGCACUUUGUGUUCAUGAGUAAAUAUUUGCUAAUGGCAGCAUGGCUGGGCGAAUGUAGGGGAGCUGCUGCUCCCCCCGUCGGAGCAGGCAGGGAAAUGAAUAUGAAUUUAUCAUGAUUAGGUGAACUCAGCAGGGAGAGCGGGAGAGAGAGGGCUAGGCAGGGAGGGGGCGGGCGAAGAUGGAUCUGUGCAAUAAAAUUAAAUAAGGACACCAAAUAGAGUCACUUCUCACGCACUCGCCCGCCCUCCCGCGUGCAGGGCCUCUCCUGCCUCCCGCGCUUCUCUGGCUUUGCUGAUUUCUCUCUUUCCUCGAAUUUAUGAGGCCAAUUAUGAAGAUGAGGUUGGAAGUUCUCAGAAGUUCACUAAAUGCAAAGUGUGGUCCCUGCUGUUCCUAUCAAAUUAAUUAACCAAGUGCUAUUGAUGGCCGGGCUGACGUCGGUGCGGAGCGUGAGGGAAGGGCUGCUGGGUGCAGCUGAGCAAGCCUGGAGGGCAGAGCACCCUGCAGGGCACCCUCAGGGCCAGUGGGUGCAGAGUGAGCCCUGCCUGGGCAGCCACUGGGCAGCAGGAGCAAGGAAUGCAGCAGGGCAUGUGUCAGGUCCCGGUGUGAUGGUUUGUAUUGCAGUCCCUGUUUGCAGCAGUUUCCUCUGUCUGGAGUCCUCAGACCAGGGAUCCCACAGAGGCAGAACACAGAGGGCAGAUCCAAGCAUCCCUACAGGUGUCCAGCUCCUGGCAUGGCUCUGGCUGUGUGUCUCCACCAUCCCAGCUCCUGCUUCUCUUUGCUGGCUUCACUCCUGUCCCAGUGAUCAAUGGGCUUUGGUUGGGCUGGAAAACAGCACAAACAGAGGCAUUUACAACCCUGCUGUCUCUCCAACAGGGCCAUAACUCAGGCUCCCCGUCACCGUGGGGAAUGGGAGCCAGGAGCUCCUGCUUUGGUGGCAGCAGCAGCACCGACAUUUUUCCUCCCGUGGUAAAUGUGUUACUUGGGGAUAAUUUACCUGCUUAUGUCAGGUUUUAAAAAGAAACAGACUGGCUGCUGAGCAGCUCAUGACACUUGCAGUUUGCAUGGCAUGAACACACAUGUCUACCCAGAGAAAAGAGAUCACCUAAGCUGAAAGGACCUGUUUGCAAAUGUCUGCACUUUGGAGCCGCAGUCUCGGCGUGGAGUCUGUCGAGCACUGAGCCUGAGAUCUUGCCACAGUCCGUCCCUCCAUGGGCUCUCCAGGGUGUGCAGCCACCGGCAGGCUCUGGCAAUGCCCACUGCGCCGGAGCUGCCUGGGGCUGCCUGUCCCACGUCUCCCGCAGGGUCCAUCCUCUGCCCGCACCCCUUCUCCAGGAUGUUCUGGUCAGUGGUAUAAAGCCUGGAGAAGGGGCUCCUUGUUGGGGGAAACUGAAGAACACAUGGACUGGUGGUUUCAUGAACAUGAACAGCAGAGCCAGGGAGGGCACCAGGUGUCUGAGCCCAGCUCCUGCCCAGGACUGAGGGUGAGGGACCAGCAGGACCUGAUACAGCUUUUCAAGGUCUACUUGGACACUACUAGAGAAUACAGCCUUAUCCUCACCAGACAGAACCAGUGCUUUUGAAAGCCUCAAUCCAGGGAGCUGGAUUUCAACAUGGGGAAGCAGCUUUGGACAUGGAAAAGCGGCUCAGAGCUCACCCAGCCAUAUCCUUCCUGAGAAGCCUGCAGUGGAGCAGCUGGGAAGGCCUCCCAGGCAAGACAAGCAGAGACGAAGCCCAAAUCCCUCUUUUGCAGGAGUACCAGGUCAGUGGCAUGGGGCAGUUUGAACUACAACCCCCCCAAAAAAUCUUGUCCCAAUAGCCUCAGAAAAAACUGAGGGGUUGCCAGAGUUCCAUGAGCAUGGGGGUUCCUCACCCCCAGGCCCUGAUGGAAAAGAGGAUGGACAUGUCCUUUGACAUGGUACCCUCAAACGAGUCCCCAGGAACAAAUACAUCCAAAGGACACCAUAGAAUAUUUCCAGUGACCCUCAGUCCUUGGAAAGAGGGCACUUCUGGCUCUGGUGGCAUCCAAAACCCUGACAGAAAUGGGUCCUGACCCCACAUUUCCCAGGUCUGCCCCAUCUCACUGGCCACUUAGAGCAGUCCUUGGCCGUAAGGCAACAUUCCGACUCCUUGGCUAUGCCAGGACCCCAGGAAUGGGGGGCCGGUCCCAGGGGGGCCAUUGCCUCACACAUGGAGGGCAGGGGGCAUCCUCCAAGCUGCCCCACAUGCUGGGUGGGAGAGAUAGAUAAAUACCAGAAUAAAUAAAUACAAGUGGCAAAGAGGCCUGAAAUGAUGCUGUCGUUUGCUGGGAAUGAGAGACACAAGUGUAAUUUAGGUUUUGAUAUUAUCAAAGUCUCGCUGCUCUAAAACAGCAGGGCACUCAGUGCCUCAUUAAUAAAGGAUAAACUUGGAGUCUAUUUACAAUGCACUUUUUGGGGUUAUUUACACUCCAUUAUACAUAUGUAAU